Molecule: long non-coding RNA, 1143 nt
Filed under: Capra hircus (goat)
Lineage: Eukaryota; Metazoa; Chordata; Mammalia; Artiodactyla; Bovidae
Description: lncRNA (ENSCHIG00010031990.1)
Source: RNAcentral
CGUUUAUGGGGUCGCACAGAGUCGGACAUGACUGAAGCGACUUAGCAGCAAGAAGGCUGGGGAAAAGGAAGAAAAAUGAUCAGAGGUGGGAACCCUACAUUGAGCCCUCUUAUAUGGCUGACACACAGAGAGUGAGAUUCCUGAAUGAUUGACAUCACCAUAUUCCAAACUGCAACCAAUUCAGGGAAAAAGAUUAAAACAAGUUGUCACAGAAUGUGUAACUUUAGCAAUAAUUGGAGAAGUGAGGUUCCUCUGAACCAAAUUCAGAGAAGGAAAAACUCAAAAUUAUAUUAACACUAUAUAACAAAACUGCUGUUUUCUAUAGUUUAUAUCUUUCCAGCUUCUUUUGGAGAGGAGGGAUGAAGAAGUUAUAAACCCAAAAUAUCAUACUGACAAACAUUUAAAAUAUGUCCCAGAACAACAAGUCACGCCCUAAAAAUCUGCAAAAUCUUAUUUUCUGAUGAGUAUCUAUUUCUACUUCAGUCAUUAAAGGAUAACACUGAGAAUAGGUGGUAAAGAAUAAAACAGAAUAAACCGAAAAUAAAGAGGCACGGUGAUGCUACACUGCAAGGAUUCAAACCCUAACUCUACCACACAUGAGCUCUGUAACUCUGGGCAAAUUACUUAACCUCUCUGGUUUCCUUAUCGUUGAAAGAAAUAUUGUAGUCACAGGCCUAUUUCAUAGGGUUCCUAACCAGAUAAAGGAGUUAUCAGUUGCAAAACACUUAAGACAGGUACAGAGCAAGUGCUAGAGAAAUAUUUAUUACAGGACUUGCCUGGAAGAAGCCCCUUGUUCCCUAGAGGUUCAGAAUCCACUUGCCCAGGCAGGGCAUGAGUUUGAGCCCUACUUCAGGAGGCUCCACGUGCUGCAGGGCGACUGAGCCCGCGUCCCACAGCCAGUGAGCUGGCACACCGGAGCCCUGUAGCCACAACUAGGGCCACGUGCCUGGAGCCUGUGCUCUGGAGCAAGAGAAGCUACCAUGAUGAGAAACGCAGGCACCACCGCUGGACAGCAGCCCCUCCACACCCCAACGAAAGAAAGCCCUCAAGCUCCAAUGAAGACACGAUGCAGCACCCCCAAAGUAAAACAUGUAAUUUCAUUUUAAAAGACUUUAAGAAAUAUUUAUGACAGUCAACAAAAAU